GGGGUUGUGGCUCAGAGGUAGAGCACUCUCCUAGCAUGAGUGAGGCACUGGGUUCGAUCCUCAGCACCA
RNAcentral lists this transfer RNA (69 nucleotides) under Marmota marmota marmota (Alpine marmot). It matches the Rfam family "tRNA". From Rfam's summary of the family: Transfer RNA (tRNA) molecules are approximately 80 nucleotides in length. Their secondary structure includes four short double-helical elements and three loops (D, anti-codon, and T loops). Lineage: Eukaryota; Metazoa; Chordata; Mammalia; Rodentia; Sciuridae. The record is from Rfam by way of RNAcentral. RNAcentral also lists the same sequence under 2 other names.